Molecule: transfer RNA, 73 nt
Filed under: Nicotiana sylvestris (wood tobacco)
Lineage: Eukaryota; Viridiplantae; Streptophyta; Magnoliopsida; Solanales; Solanaceae
Also listed under: 1 other name
Rfam family: tRNA
About the family: Transfer RNA (tRNA) molecules are approximately 80 nucleotides in length. Their secondary structure includes four short double-helical elements and three loops (D, anti-codon, and T loops).
Source: Rfam by way of RNAcentral
GCGCAUGUAGCUCAGUGGUUAGAGCGCAUGUUUCCUAAGCUGAAGGUCGCAAGUUCGACCCUCACCUGGCGCG